RNAcentral lists this long non-coding RNA (708 nucleotides) under Trifolium pratense (red clover). Its description in RNAcentral is "long non-coding RNA (TPRA_LNC009646)". The record is from RNAcentral. Lineage: Eukaryota; Viridiplantae; Streptophyta; Magnoliopsida; Fabales; Fabaceae.
UAAGAUAAGGUAAUUUCCUUACAAGUGAUGGGAAGAUGCUAUCCUUAUGUGUGUGGUGUGUGGAAAGACCUACUAUUAAGGAUAUGGUCAAAGUACAUACUACAUAUACAUACUCACUCCUAUCAUUCAUUUCCUACUUCUUAACUCACUCAUUCAUCUUUGAUUUGUGCUUCCUCUAAGUCUUUCUUUGGGAGAUCUCUUUCUACAGCUUCCUUUGUUUCUUUGUUUGUUUCCAAACAAUUAAUUCAAGUAAUUUUUCUCUCUAAAUAUUAAUUAAUUAGUAAACACAUUUUACUCAUCAUAAAUAACUUCCGUUGGUAGUUUUCAUGUUAUAUUUAUUACCUGUUAAAUCUUUCUCUAAAUCUCUCUCUCUUUUCUUUGCAGAUCUUAGUUUGUGUUUUUCUGACAAAGAUCUCACUUUGUUUGUUUGUUCCCACACUUUCAGGUAAAUCUCUUCUCUUCCUCUGUUAACAAAAGUUAAUCUUUUAAAUUAUCUAUUUGUCCCACAACAACAGAUUCAUAAACUUGUACAAAAAUGAGAGAAUCAAAUCAACCAGUAAUGCUAAAUAGAAAUAAAAAGCAUUACUUUACUGGAGAGUAUUUUACAAGAUAAAUACUAUUUAACUAUAUUUAGAAUUUUAUGUAAAGAAAAAAAUCACUUUUUUCCCACUGGUUUUAUUUAAGGAGUGUUUGCCUGUUUGUUAAUUG